UGAAGCUGUUACUAUCUGCAAAAGUAAUUGAGUAAAAUCACUACAUAGGUUGGAACUGCUGGAACAACCACAAAUGAAUCUCAAAAGAAUAAUGUUGAAAGAAAGAAGUCGGAUGCAAAAUAGUGCACUACACACUGCAGAUUCCAUUCAUGUGCUGCUACAUGCCCUCUGGCCUGCAUUUGCAGUAUGGUUUCCAAGUUGCUGACAAGCAGAAACCGGUGCCAACAUGAAGAGG
This is a long non-coding RNA of Lemur catta (Ring-tailed lemur), 235 nucleotides long. RefSeq lists it as uncharacterized. The transcript is spliced from 3 exons. The record is from RefSeq and is a predicted model, not a curated record. Lineage: Eukaryota; Metazoa; Chordata; Mammalia; Primates; Lemuridae.